UACGGAGGGAGCUAGCGUUAUUCGGAAUUACUGGGCGUAAAGCGCACGUAGGCGGCUUUGUAAGUAAGAGGUGAAAGCCUGGAGCUCAACUCCAGAAUUGCCUUUUAGACUGCAUCGCUUGAAUCAUGGAGAGGUGAGUGGAAUUCCGAGUGUAGAGGUGAAAUUCGUAGAUAUUCGGAAGAACACCAGUGGCUAAGGCGGCUCACUGGACAUGUAUUGACGCUGAGGUGCGAAAGCGUGGGGAGCAAACAGG
This 253-nucleotide ribosomal RNA is filed under the name uncultured bacterium. RNAcentral's name for it is "partial 16S ribosomal RNA". It matches the Rfam family "Bacterial small subunit ribosomal RNA", at positions 524 to 776 of the family's 1533-position model. The record is from RNAcentral.